Oxyura jamaicensis (ruddy duck) is the source of this 3159-nucleotide long non-coding RNA. RefSeq lists it as uncharacterized. The transcript is spliced from 9 exons. The record is from RefSeq and is a predicted model, not a curated record. NCBI's taxonomy places the organism in Eukaryota, Metazoa, Chordata, Aves, Anseriformes, Anatidae.
CUCCAGUCUUCUAUGCCCUGAACCCGGUGUUACAUAGCGUGUCAGAGAAAAAGCCAGUUAAAAAGUUGUGAUGCUGAGGAGAGAACACUAGCCCUUGUCACUGCUUUUGUGAUAAGUGUUUUCUUUGUUUUUCCUUCCUUUCUCCAGAUGUCCCCAGCACCGGACACUGCAGGAAGGAAAGAGGAGCUGUGCCAGCCUGCAGCCAUCCCUAGGUGGUGCACGCCGCCCGCCAGCCUGAGCCUUGCUCUCCCAGCCGGGGGAGUGCGCAGCUCCUAGCUCCCGGGGCUGGCCUGGGGGAAGACACCAGGGCCAGCCUGCAGCAGCCCAGCUGCAGGAAUGAACGUCUGGUCAAACCCUAGAAGCUAAAUCUGAACUGAAGCUGGUGGAUAAGAAACAUUAUGCAGUUCAUCUACAAAAAUGCUUGCUACAGUUCAAUAAUGGAGGGAGGAAACAGCUGGUCUGCACAUUUGUGAGUGAACAGCAUUUAAUAAGAGUACAAUGAUGACAUGUAACGCGUGUAACUUUACUGUUGGUAAUGCUGAAGGCGGUGGUUAGUACAAAACAUCAAAAACGAUGUCUUGUUACCUUGGUUAAAAGCAGCAUUUUGAAAGUGUUGGGAGUACUGAGAAGUAUGAGGCCCCUUUUAGCAGUGAUUUGGGCAUUUUGUGGAAGAUGGUAUCAUGUGAUUUGAGAGCAAGUUAACAUUUUGAAGUGCCUGAGUGCAAGACUGUUUGCAAGCAGUGAUUAACGAGAACCCUUAAGUUUAUACGUAGGAGGUGUCAUUAAUGUAAUGACAGCCAAAUCAAACACUGAAAGGAAGAGUUUCAGUGACAACUGAGUUUCAGUGACAAUGAGAAGGAUCUGUAUCUUCUGGCUAGAUUAUUAAUACCAAUCAAAACCAGAAAGCUCAUGGAGGACCAGUGGUUUUUAAAUGACUUUUAAAGAUGAUCAUGUUUUGGGAUGGAGGAAUAACUCUUCCAACAACUAGGUGCUUAAAAAAAUCUGUCAAGAGGUCAAUAAGUCUUAUAAUUUCGUGACAAGAUUUCCAAAAACAUCGGAGGUGCAGCCCUUUGAGAGCUGAUGGAACAUGUGCUAGUAAAAGAUGAUAUUCCACUGCUGAAGAGGGAGCGGACCCUGAAAUGUUAGGUUUGUCAAGAUUCAGCAUGGCAGUGCUCUUUAUGGUGUCUAUGCUCAACAGAAGUUGACGCGAAUAUUAACUUCAGAUUCAAUGAGUUCAAGAAGUACCAGGCACUCAAGGGAAACCUGGAGCACCCAGGACUACUAGCAAAUUUUUGUGAAGGCAGACCAAUUUUCUGCUGGUGCAAAUCAGGCUAGUCUUGCUGGCCUCUGUUGCAGAAAUUGGUAAAGCAUAAUUAACCUACAGGGACUUACUCUACUUUAGUCCAACUGAGAAUCUGACCUCGGGUAUUCACUAACUUCCCUAGUUCACAGCAAAUGUUUCCUAGAUGAAAUAGUGACCUAAACACUUCCAUCAACACCAUUGCUUCAUAAAUACUGUUUUUACUGUAUCACAUAGCAUGCAAAAUAUAGGUAGUGCAAGACAAGGGAAACUACCGUCAAGACAGAAAACCAGCUAAAGGAGUCAAGUUUAUUUUAAGUCUUGAAAAUACACUAACUUUGGGAAAACGGGCACUUGUAAAGGACCUUGGUGAAUUAUGGUCCAUUGUCAGAAAUGUUGCAGCUAAUUAGCAGCUAAAGCUUCCAGAGAGAAGAAACAGUGACAUGAUGGAAUGGCUGUUCGCAGAGUCUCAGCCCAUAGGUGUUUUGAUGCUGGCAGUGUUAUUGAUGGGACUUCUACAUUAAGUUAAUUUAAAGGGGGAGCCACAGCACAAAGCUUCUAAAUAAAAUGAAUGUUCAGUAGCAUGUGCCUGUUUGGUACUUGCUUACUGACCACUGCUUUUUCAAUUAGAGUGUUUUCAGGAGAUGCCAUUCUGGUGGAAAGUGAGAUUUUAUGGCCCUUCGUCUGCUCUGUGUCACUUACUACUACCGUUAGUGUUCUGUGGGUUAUGGUAAGAGUUGGAAGCCUUGAUCAUUGCCUCCUUAAGCACAGAAGAAUGUAUGUCUUUGUCCCGAAGUAUUACUGGAUCAUCCAUGGCCUUUUCCACACAGAGCACAUUAUCUUAGCACCUCCAAAAAGCAGGAGGAGUUCCAUUGCACAUGCACAGUCACCUGCAGGAUACCUGCCGUUGGCUCUCACUUCCAGGGCACGAAAGAAGAAAUACAACUUGAGGUGAAUCUUGGUGAGGAAGCAAUCCAGCAUGUCACGAAUUGCCUGCCACUAUCUAGAAAUCACUUGUGUGAGGUUGCUCCUGGAAUUGAACAUUUUUCAUGGAGGGAACCAAUUAAUCUUUCCCAGUGUUACUACAGUGCUAUUUACUAUGCUCUGGUGAUCCAUCAAUUGCCCUUCUUUGGCUGCUCCAAUGCAAAUUGUCAUAAUUGUUAUGGCAGCAUGCCUGAAAGAAGGAAUUACCAUCUCAGUGGAGCAGUGGGACGCAACAUAUAACUGCGUGAUGUUCCUUCCAGUCCUGUUUCCUGUGGCAAGCGUGAUGGCAUGUGGCACCUGUAUGAUUGUCCAGGAGAACAUGGCAUUAGAGGCUGCUUCUCCGCUCUGCUAGUACAGAAAACAAAUGGAUGGUCAGAAAUAACAGUUUCCAGUGCAUUAACAGCAAAUAGAAAAAUACAUCAAAAUGGGAAGCUCCAUGUCAGAAGCAUCAAUUUCCUUUGCUCCCCAUUUGGCUUGGGACAACCUUUGAGGGAAAGCAUUGCAUGAACAUGAAUGACAAGCAGGGAAUGAAGAUGGUGCUUGAAGGUAGCGUGGGAAAUGAGUGCAAAUGGUGUCAAAUCCUUGCCACUAACGGAUUCAUCUUGCUGUUGGGGUACAAUGGAGACGGAUAGGAGAAGGCAGGAAGAGGUAAUCUACUUUAGGAAUUUGUUUAGCAGAAACAUAGCUGAAGCAAAGGGAUAAUACACAGCCUUAAUAGUGAAAUAUAAUCAGAUUCACAUCAGCUCUUGCUGGACAAUAACUCUGAUCUGUGUCUUGGUAUAAGCCUAAUACAUAGUGCUUCACAUUUCAUUUCCUCUGCUUUAUUUUCGGUAUUGAGUUCCGACUCUAUAGCAAUGCAUUUUAGAACAGUGACU